GAUGAACGCUGGCGGCGUGCCUAAUACAUGCAAGUCGAGCGAACGGACGAGAAGCUUGCUUCUCUGAUGUUAGCGGCGGACGGGUGAGUAACACGUGGAUAACCUACCUAUAAGACUGGGAUAACUUCGGGAAACCGGAGCUAAUACCGGAUAAUAUUUUGAACCGCAUGGUUCAAAAGUGAAAGACGGUCUUGCUGUCACUUAUAGAUGGAUCCGCGCUUCAUUAGCUAGUUGGUAAGGUAACGGCUUACCAAGGCAACGAUGCAUAGCCGACCUGAGAGGGUGAUCGGCCACACUGGAACUGAGACACGGUCCAGACUCCUACGGGAGGCAGCAGUAGGGAAACUUCCGCAAUGGGCGAAAGCCAGACGGAGAAACGCCGCGUGAGUGAUGAAGGUAUUCGGAUCGUAAAACUCUGUUAUUAGGGAAGAACAUAUGUGUAAGUGACUGUGAACAUCUUGACGGUACCUAAUCAGAAAGCCACGGCUAACUACGUG
Molecule: ribosomal RNA, 497 nt
Filed under: uncultured bacterium
Lineage: Bacteria
Description: partial 16S ribosomal RNA
Rfam family: Bacterial small subunit ribosomal RNA
Source: RNAcentral